RNAcentral lists this ribosomal RNA (486 nucleotides) under Nocardioides cavernae. RNAcentral describes it as "bacterial SSU rRNA". It matches the Rfam family "Bacterial small subunit ribosomal RNA", at positions 380 to 876 of the family's 1533-position model. The record is from RNAcentral. Lineage: Bacteria; Bacillati; Actinomycetota; Actinomycetes; Propionibacteriales; Nocardioidaceae.
AGCCUGAUCCAGCAACGCCGCGUGAGGGAUGACGGCCUUCGGGUUGUAAACCUCUUUCAGCAGGGACGAAGCGCAAGUGACGGUACCUGCAGAAGAAGCACCGGCCAACUACGUGCCAGCAGCCGCGGUAAUACGUAGGGUGCGAGCGUUGUCCGGAAUUAUUGGGCGUAAAGGGCUCGUAGGCGGUUUGUCGCGUCGGGAGUGAAAACCAGGUGCUUAACACCUGGCUUGCUUUCGAUACGGGCAGACUAGAGGUAUUCAGGGGAGAACGGAAUUCCUGGUGUAGCGGUGAAAUGCGCAGAUAUCAGGAGGAACACCGGUGGCGAAGGCGGUUCUCUGGGAAUAUCCUGACGCUGAGGAGCGAAAGUGUGGGGAGCGAACAGGAUUAGAUACCCUGGUAGUCCACACCGUAAACGUUGGGCGCUAGGUGUGGGGUCCAUUCCACGGAUUCCGUGCCGCAGCUAACGCAUUAAGCGCCCCGCCUGG